GAUACGGAAGCCGGGAAGUUAACCGCGAGGUGGAAAGAGGUCUUUCUUUUCGCAGCAGCCUGAAAAGAGAUCGGAGCCAUUUCUCCGCAGAGAUGCCUUUCUCUAAAUAUUACAGCGUCAUAUUUAAAAAUACAGAAACUAAUGUUUCCUUUCUGUCGUUGGGUAGCGGCAGUGAAGCGGGCAGAAGUAAAAACCGACUGAAAGAUGAGAAUGAAAAAUGAAUAUUGCUGUGAGCUUAAAAGAGUCGCAGCUGGAUGAAUCCAAUCCAAGGAUGAUGGGAUAAUCCUGGGAUUAACGUUGCUGUGGAGCAGCUGGUGAUGAUGGGGUGAAAACUGAAGCUGUCUGAUGGGAUGGAGAGCAGUUUGGAAGCCAACGCAGAAGAUCACGGCUCAUUCUGGGACUCUAAUGGAAUGCAAAAAUUAACAUUCAAAUCUGCUUCCCAGAGGGCGACAAAACACACCGAUGUGACAAUGAAUGCAGUCAGAAUACAUCUUAUCUGAAGAAGUGACCUUUUCUAUAGUUUUAUUUGCUGAAUAAAGUCUGAAUUGUGUAGAAAGUG
Girardinichthys multiradiatus is the source of this 559-nucleotide long non-coding RNA. RefSeq lists it as uncharacterized. The transcript has 5 exons. Lineage: Eukaryota; Metazoa; Chordata; Actinopteri; Cyprinodontiformes; Goodeidae. The record is from RefSeq and is a predicted model, not a curated record.